CGAAAGACGAGUCAGCAAGGCGGGAUCCAGAGUACCACGAGACACGAGAAACCUUGUGGGAAUGAGCGGGGACCACCCCGUAAGGCUAAAUACUCCUUAGUGACCGAUAGCGCAUAGUACUGUGAAGGAAAGGUGAAAAGGACCCCGGGAGGGGAGUGAAAGAGAACCUGAAACCCUGUGUUUACAAGCUGUGGAACAUCUAUAUAUGAUGAACCGCGUACUUUUUGUAGAACGGUCCGGCGAGUUACGCCAUCUGGCGAGGUUAAGUUCUUAAGGAAUGGAGCCGAAGUGAAAACAAGUCUUAACAGGGCGUUAAGUCAGAUGGAGUAGACCCGAAACCGGGUGAUCUAUCCAUGUCCAGGAUGAAGUUGCCGUAAAAGGCAAUGGAGGUCCGAACCCACAUCCGUUGAAAAGGGUGGGGAUGAGGUGUGGAUAGGGGAGAAAUUCCAAUCGAACCCGGAGAUAGCUGGUUCUCCUCGAAAUAGCUUUAGGGCUAGCCUCAUGAGAGUCUUUUGGAGGUAGAGCACUGAAUUCCCGCGGGGGCGUCAAAGCUUACCAAAGGAUAUCAAACUCCGAAUGCCAGUAAGAUGAUUCAUGGGAGUCAGACUGCACGAGAUAAGUUGGGCAGUCAAAAGGGAAAGAGCCCAGACCUGCAGCUAAGGUCCCAAAAUGUGUGUUAAGUGGAAAAGGAUGUGGGAUUUCAAAGACAACCAGGAUGUUGGCUUAGAAGCAGCCAUACAUUAAAAGAGUGCGUAAUAGCUCACUGGUCGAGAGGUCCUGCGCCGAAAAUGUCCGGGGCUGAAACACACUACCGAAGCUCAGGAAUUAACGUAGUUAAUUGGUAGAGGAGCAUUCUUAAAGGGAAGAAGCAGUACCGGAAGGAGCUGUGGACUUUUAAGAAGAGAGAAUGCCGGAAUGAGUAGCGAGAGGAAGGUGAGAAUCCUUCCGGCCGAAUACCCAAGGUUUCCAGAGUAAAGCUGAUCUGCUCUGGGUAAGUCGGGGCCUAAGGUGAGGUCGAAAGACGUAGCCGAUGGACAACAGGUUGAAAUUCCUGUACUGCAGUAUAACAGAACUGUGGGGACGCAGAGGGAGAGCACUAGCGGGAAUGGAAUCCCGCGGCAAGCGAGGUAGGAGUCGCGCUGGCAAAUCCGCGUGACAAUCCGAAGACGUGAUGCAUACCGAACUGAAGUAGGGAAAUGUGUGAGCCAGCUGCCAAGAAAAGCCGCUAUUGUUUGUACUGUACCCGUACCGUAAACCGACACAGGUAGGUGAGGAGAGAAUCCUAAGGCCGACGGGAGAAGCAUUGUUAAGGAACUCGGCAAAAUGACUCCGUAACUUCGGGAGAAGGAGUGCCAGUGAGAGCUGGCCGCAGAGAAUUGGCCCAAGCAACUGUUUAGCAAAAACACAGGUCUAUGCAAAACCGUAAGGUGAAGUAUAUGGGCUGACGCCUGCCCGGUGCUGGAAGGUUAAGGGGAGAGGUUAGCGCAAGCGAAGCUUUGAACUUAAGCCCCAGUAAACGGCGGCCGUAACUAUAACGGUCCUAAGGUAGCGAAAUUCCUUGUCGGGUAAGUUCCGACCCGCACGAAAGGCGUAAUGAUUUGGGCACUGUCUCAACAAUGCACCCGGUGAAAUUGAAAUACCAGUGAAGAUGCUGGUUACCUGCGCCAGGACGGAAAGACCCCAUGGAGCUUUACUCCAGCUUGAUACUGGGAUUCGAUAUUGUAUGUACAGGAUAGGUGGGAGGCGAAGAAGCAUUGACGCCAGUUGAUGCGGAGCCGCUGUUGGGAUACCACCCUUGCAGUAUUGGAUUUCUAACCAGCAGCCGUGACCCGGCUGGGGGACAAUGUCAGGUGGGGAGUUUGACUGGGGCGGUCGCCUCCGAAAGGGUAUCGGAGGCGCUCAAAGGUUCCCUCAGAAUGGUUGGAAACCAUUCGAAGAGUGCAAAGGCAGAAGGGAGCUUGACUGCGACACCGACGGGUGGAGCAGGUACGAAAGUAGGACUUAGUGAUCCGGUGGUAUAAAGUGGGAUUGCCAUCGCUCAACGGAUAAAAGCUACCCUGGGGAUAACAGGCUUAUCACUCCCAAGAGUUCACAUCGACGGAGUGGUUU
RNAcentral lists this ribosomal RNA (2109 nucleotides) under human gut metagenome. RNAcentral describes it as "bacterial LSU rRNA". It matches the Rfam family "Bacterial large subunit ribosomal RNA", at positions 380 to 2519 of the family's 2925-position model. The record is from RNAcentral.